CUCUGGACUGAUAGGACGUUCAGGGCGGAAAGAG
Non-coding RNA from Paenibacillus sp. 1-18, 34 nucleotides. The record is from Rfam. Lineage: Bacteria; Bacillati; Bacillota; Bacilli; Caryophanales; Paenibacillaceae.